UGGGGAAUCUUCCGCAAUGGACGAAAGUCUGACGGAGCAACGCCGCGUGAGUGAUGACGGCCUUCGGGUUGUAAAGCUCUGUUAAUCGGGACGAAUGGUUCUUGUGCAAAUAGUGCGAGGAUUUGACGGUACCGGAAUAGAAAGCCACGGCUAACUACGUGCCAGCAGCCGCGGUAAUACGUAGGUGGCAAGCGUUGUCCGGAAUUAUUGGGCGUAAAGCGCGCGCAGGCGGAUUGGUCAGUCUGUCUUAAAAGUUCGGGGCUUAACCCCGUGAUGGGAUGGAAACUGCCAAUCGAGAGUAUCGGAGAGGAAAGUGGAAUUCCUAGUGUAGCGGUGAAAUGCGUAGAUAUUAGGAAGAACACCAGUGGCGAAGGCGACUUUCUGGACGAAAACUGACGCUGAGGCGCGAAAGCCAGGGGAGCGAACGGG
This 429-nucleotide ribosomal RNA is filed under the name bacterium. Its description in RNAcentral is "partial 16S ribosomal RNA". It matches the Rfam family "Bacterial small subunit ribosomal RNA", at positions 355 to 776 of the family's 1533-position model. The record is from RNAcentral.